Molecule: long non-coding RNA, 90 nt
Organism: Ipomoea nil (Japanese morning glory)
Lineage: Eukaryota; Viridiplantae; Streptophyta; Magnoliopsida; Solanales; Convolvulaceae
Exons: 3
Source: RefSeq, a predicted model, not a curated record
GUGGUGGCGGUGUAUAAAAAAUAUAGUUACGUCUUUGCUACGAGUUAUAGCUUUUAGCAUAGUGGUAAGCGCUUAAUCCUAAUAAGUGGU